AUAUAUAACGGCUCGCGAAGAUGAUUAUUGUAAGAGCGCGCCCGCUUCAAGGUGGGAGUCAGCACGGUGUUAUCCCCGGAGGGGGAUGAUGACGUGGUUGAUAAUGCGGGGCACAUCGCGUCAGGCGGGUAACCGAGCAUCGCUAUAGCUCUAGCUCUCGCCAGUGAAGGGAUCACGCGCUUUUUUUUCUUAUCUUUUCAACGCGCGAUCCCGUUCAUACUGA
RNAcentral lists this signal recognition particle RNA (223 nucleotides) under Selaginella moellendorffii. Its description in RNAcentral is "SRP RNA Plant_SRP". The stretch from base 33 to 182 matches the Rfam family "Metazoan signal recognition particle RNA", at positions 101 to 249 of the family's 299-position model. From Rfam's summary of the family: The signal recognition particle (SRP) is a universally conserved ribonucleoprotein. It is involved in the co-translational targeting of proteins to membranes. The record is from RNAcentral. Lineage: Eukaryota; Viridiplantae; Streptophyta; Lycopodiopsida; Selaginellales; Selaginellaceae.